AAUGGAGGACUUCCCACUAAAAGAGAUAAAUGAAAUGGAGGCAAGCCAACUAUCAGAUAUUGAAUUCAAAGCAAUGGUUAUAAGGAAGCUCAAUGAACUCACUGAGAAUUACCAAAAAUUACAGGGAAACUGUGAGGAACUUGCUGCAAACUAGAUCAACAUGAUAAAGGACAUAGAAACUAUCAAGAAGAGCCAAGAGGAAAUG
Long non-coding RNA from Phyllostomus discolor (pale spear-nosed bat), 205 nucleotides. RefSeq lists it as uncharacterized. The transcript is spliced from 2 exons. The record is from RefSeq and is a predicted model, not a curated record. NCBI's taxonomy places the organism in Eukaryota, Metazoa, Chordata, Mammalia, Chiroptera, Phyllostomidae.